This 497-nucleotide ribosomal RNA is filed under the name uncultured bacterium. RNAcentral's name for it is "partial 16S ribosomal RNA". It matches the Rfam family "Bacterial small subunit ribosomal RNA", at positions 28 to 507 of the family's 1533-position model. The record is from RNAcentral.
GAUGAACGCUGGCGGCGUGCCUAAUACAUGCCAGUCGAGCGAACAGAUGAGGAGCUUGCUCCUCUGACGUUAGCGGCGGGCGGGUGAGUAACACGUGGAUAACCUACCUAUAAGACUGGGAUAACUUCGGGAAACCGGAGCUAAUACCGGAUAAUAUAUUGAACCGCAUGGUUCAAUAGUGAAAGACGGUUUUGCUGUCACUUAUAGAUGGAUCCGCGCCGCAUUAGCUAGUUGGUAAGGUAACGGCUUACCAAGGCAACGAUGCGUAGCCGACCUGAGAGGGUGAUCGGCCACACUGGAACUGAGACACGGUCCAGACUCCUACGGGAGGCAGCAGUAGGGAAUCUUCCGCAAUGGGCGAAAGCCUGACGGAGCAACGCCGCGUGAGUGAUGAAGGUCUUCGGAUCGUAAAACUCUGUUAUUAGGGAAGAACAAAUGUGUAAGUAACUAUGCACGUCUUGACGGUACCUAAUCAGAAAGCCACGGCUAACUACGUG